RNAcentral lists this ribosomal RNA (427 nucleotides) under uncultured Methylophilaceae bacterium. RNAcentral's name for it is "bacterial SSU rRNA". It matches the Rfam family "Bacterial small subunit ribosomal RNA", at positions 355 to 774 of the family's 1533-position model. The record is from RNAcentral. Lineage: Bacteria; Pseudomonadati; Pseudomonadota; Betaproteobacteria; Nitrosomonadales; Methylophilaceae.
UGGGGAAUUUUGGACAAUGGGCGAAAGCCUGAUCCAGCCAUUCCGCGUGAGUGAAGAAGGCCUUCGGGUUGUAAAGCUCUUUCGCAAGGGAAGAAAACUUAGCUACUAAUAUUAGCUGAGGUUGACGGUACCUUGAUAAGAAGCACCGGCUAACUACGUGCCAGCAGCCGCGGUAAUACGUAGGGUGCGAGCGUUAAUCGGAAUUACUGGGCGUAAAGCGUGCGCAGGCGGUUUUGUAAGUCAGAUGUGAAAUCCCCGAGCUCAACUUGGGAACUGCGUUUGAAACUACAAGACUAGAAUAUGUCAGAGGGGGGUAGAAUUCCACGUGUAGCAGUGAAAUGCGUAGAGAUGUGGAGGAAUACCAAUGGCGAAGGCAGCCCCCUGGGAUAAUAUUGACGCUCAUGCACGAAAGCGUGGGGAGCAAACA